CUGACCUGGGAAGGAGGAGAUAGUCAGUAGGACCCUAGAGAGCAGGGGAAAACCGUGAAAGGCUGAGACAUUCACCCGGCAGAUACAGCCUCAUAAUCCUCAAAACACUGUAUGAAGUAUCACUACUAAUCAAACUUGCCACCCAAAUCCAGGAACCCAGCAGAGAGCAUCAAGGAAAGUACAGGAAUGUCAAAACAUAUCCUCAGGAUCAAGGGAUCCAUGCUGAUGAAGUAAAAACCUCUCUUACUGUCCAUCUCUUAAUGAAGAGUUGCUGAGUACCUGUUAUGGGAUUGGCACCACAGACACCAUCCCUGGGAGACCUAGAUGAUGGUAAGGGAGACAAGACUGUUAAUAAAUGGAAAUGACUGUAAUACAAACAAACUGAGCACAGAAAAGGUAACUCUGCCUAAAGACUGAGCUCAGGGAAGG
Molecule: long non-coding RNA, 429 nt
Organism: Canis lupus familiaris (dog)
Lineage: Eukaryota; Metazoa; Chordata; Mammalia; Carnivora; Canidae
Exons: 4
Source: RefSeq, a predicted model, not a curated record